Molecule: ribosomal RNA, 1346 nt
Filed under: Emblyna annulipes
Lineage: Eukaryota; Metazoa; Arthropoda; Arachnida; Araneae; Dictynidae
Description: SSU rRNA
Rfam family: Eukaryotic small subunit ribosomal RNA
Source: RNAcentral
AAGCCAUGCAUGUCUAAGUACAGCCYAYAAGGCGAAACCGCGAAUGGCUCAUUAAAUCAGUUAUGGUUCCUUGGAUCGUACUUUGUACUUGGAUAACUGUGGUAAUUCUAGAGCUAAUACAUGCAGCAGAGCUCCGACCCUCGGGAACGAGCGCUUUUAUUAGACCAAAACCGAUCGGCCUCGGUCCGUUUCUUGUGGUGACUCUGAAUAACUUUGGGCUGAUCGACGGGCCCGUCCCGGCGACGUAUCUUUCAAGUGUCUGCCUUAUCAACUUUCGAUGGUAGGUUACGCGCCUACCAUGGUCGUAACGGGUGACGGGGAAUCAGGGUUCGAUUCCGGAGAGGGAGCCUGAGAAACGGCUACCACAUCCAAGGAAGGCAGCAGGCGCGCAAAUUACCCACUCCCAGAUCGGGGAGGUAGUGACGAAAAAUAACAAUACGGGACUCUUAUGAGACCCCGUAAUUGGAAUGAGUACACUCUAAAACCUUUAACGAGGAUCCAUUCGAGGGCAAGUCUGGUGCCAGCAGCCGCGGUAACCCCAGCUCGAAUAGCGUAUAUUAAAGUUGUUGCGGUUAAAAAGCUCGUAGUUGGAUCUCAGUUCCAGACGGGCGGUCCGCCUACCGGUGGUCACUGUCGUUCUGAACAGCGGCCGGUUCCUCUGGAUGAUCUUCACCGGUUGUCUUGGGUGACUGGCAAGUUUACUUUGAAAAAAUUAGAGUGCUCAAAGCAGGCGCGAAGCCUGAAUAAUGGUGCAUGGAAUAAUGGAAUAGGACCUCGGUUCUAUUUUGUUGGUUUUCUGAACGCGAGGUAAUGAUUAGAGGGACAGACGGGGGCAUUCGUAUUGCGUCGAUAGAGGUGAAAUUCUUGGACCGUCGCAAGACGAACUACUGCGAAAGCAUUUGCCAAGAAUGUUUCCGUUAAUCAAGAACGAAAGUUAGAGGAUCGAAGGCGAUUAGAUACCGCCCUAGUUCUAACCAUAAACGAUGCCAGCUAGCGAUCCGGUUUUUCUCAAAACGAGUGGCCGGGCAGCUUCCGGGAAACCAAAGCCUUUGGGUUCCGGGGGGAGUAUGGUUGCAAAGCUGAAACUUAAAGGAAUAGACGGAAGGGCACCACCAGGAAUGGAGCCUGCGGCUUAAUUUGACUCAACACGGGAAAACUCACCCGGCCCGGACCAGGAAGGAUUGACAGAUUGAGAGCUCUUUCUUGAUUCUGUGGGUGGUGGUGCAUGGCCGCUCUUAGUUCGUGGAGCGAUUUGUCUGGUUAAUUCCGAUAACGAACGAGACUCCAGCCUAUAAUUAUCGUUCCGUUGAGUCGGACGUGCUUCUUAGAGGGAUUAACGGCGUYUA